This 128-nucleotide small nucleolar RNA is filed under the name Castor canadensis (American beaver). Its description in RNAcentral is "Small nucleolar RNA SNORA51 (ENSCCNG00000027599.1)". It matches the Rfam family "Small nucleolar RNA SNORA51". Rfam says of the family: ACA51 is a member of the H/ACA class of snoRNA that guide the sites of modification of uridines to pseudouridines. Lineage: Eukaryota; Metazoa; Chordata; Mammalia; Rodentia; Castoridae. The record is from Rfam by way of RNAcentral.
UGUCUGCUGCUGCCCACGGGCUGUGUUCUUACACUGACUGCUUAGAAAGAGGAGGCAAAGUAAACCUACCCCAUAUGCACCUCAGCCAGGCCCUGUGCCUGGUCUGUACUGUGAAUGAGAAGACACAG